Molecule: ribosomal RNA, 301 nt
Filed under: uncultured bacterium
Lineage: Bacteria
Description: partial 16S ribosomal RNA
Rfam family: Bacterial small subunit ribosomal RNA
Source: RNAcentral
CAGCCGCCGCGGUAAAACGAACCGUGCGAACGUUAUUCGGAAUCACUGGGCUUAAAGCGCGUGUAGGCGGGAGGGCACGUCCGUCGCUGAAAUCCCCCGGCUCAACCGGGGAGCGGGCGCGGAUACGACUCUUCUGGAGGAACGUAGGGGGACCUGGAACUUCCGGUGGAGCGGUGAAAUGCGUUGAGAUCGGAAGGAACGCCCGUGGCGAAAGCGAGGUCCUGGACGUUUACUGACGCUGAGACGCGAAAGCCAGGGGAGCGAACGGGAUUAGAGACCCCAGUAGUCCCUGUCUCUUAUU